Molecule: ribosomal RNA, 753 nt
Filed under: Tenuicylindrus belgicus
Lineage: Eukaryota; Bacillariophyta; Leptocylindrophyceae; Leptocylindrales; Leptocylindraceae
Description: eukaryotic LSU rRNA
Rfam family: Eukaryotic large subunit ribosomal RNA
Source: RNAcentral
AGAAACUAACCAGGAUUCCCCUAGUAACGGCGAGUGAAGUGGGAAGAGCUCAAAAUGUGAAUCUGCAUUUGUAUGAAUGAAUGCCGAGUUGUACUAACCUGUUCAGUGGUAAGGUUUGGCUAAGUCCUCUGGAACGAGGCACCAUAGAGGGUGAUAGUCCCGUCUGCCUGAUCUAUCUGCUAUACGAACAGUGUAACUGAGUCGAGUUGCUUGAGAAUGCAGCUCAAAGUGGGUGGUAAAUUCCAUCUAAGGCUAAAUACUGGUAGGAGACCGAUAGCGUACAAGUACCGUGAGGGAAAGAUGCAAAGAACUUUGAAAAGAGAGUUAAAGAGUACCUGAAACUGUUGAAAGGGAAGCGAAGGGAAGCAGUGCGCAGGUGUGUUAUAUUUCCUGACUACUAAGUUGGGCGCUGUGGCAUGUCGAAGCAGUCAGUGUGGGUUUGGUUUGCUUGAAGCAGUAGUGCUAGAGGUAGCCACUUUUGUGGUGUUAUACUGGUGUUAUUUGCGUAGUGAAUUGGACCGAGGCAAUUGUGUGUGAUGCUGACGAAAUGUUUCUCUUCUCCCCGUCUAGAAACACGGACCAAGGAGUCUAACAUAUGCGCGAGUACAGAGGUGUCAAACCUCGGUGCGUAAUGAAAGUAAUAGUGGUAGUUUUCUCUAUCCGCCGGCCAAAAUGCCUCGGCAUGAAGGUCUGAGUGUGAGCGUAUAUGUUGGGACCCGAAAGAUGGUGAACUAUGCCUGAGUAGGUGAAGCC